RNAcentral lists this ribosomal RNA (374 nucleotides) under uncultured organism. RNAcentral describes it as "partial 16S ribosomal RNA". It matches the Rfam family "Bacterial small subunit ribosomal RNA", at positions 527 to 896 of the family's 1533-position model. The record is from RNAcentral.
GUAGGUGGCAAGCGUUGUCCGGAAUUAUUGGGCGUAAAGCGCGCGCAGGCGGGUUCUUUAAGUCUGAUGUGAAAGCCCACGGGCUCAACCGUGGAGGGUCAUUGGAAACUGGAGAACUUGAGUACAGAAGAGGAAAGCGGAAUUCCACGUGUAGCGGUGAAAUGCGUAGAGAUGUGGAGGAACACCAGUGGCGAAGGCGGCUUUCUGGUCUGUAACUGACGCUGAGGCGCGAAAGCGUGGGGAGCAAACAGGAUUAGAUACCCUGGUAGUCCACGCCGUAAACGAUGAGUGCUAAGUGUUAGGGGGUUUCCGCCCCUUAGUGCUGCGGCUAACGCAUUAAGCACUCCGCCUGGGGAGUACGGCCGCAAAGGCUG